Molecule: ribosomal RNA, 203 nt
Filed under: uncultured eukaryote
Lineage: Eukaryota
Description: partial 18S ribosomal RNA
Rfam family: Eukaryotic small subunit ribosomal RNA
Source: RNAcentral
GGGUUCGAUUCCGGAGAGGGAGCCUGAGAAACGGCUACCACUUCCAAGGAAGGCAGCAGGCGCGUAAAUUACCCAAUCCCGACACGGGGAGGUAGUGACAAUAAAUACCGAUGCAGGUCUUAUACAAAGUCUUGUGAUUGGAAUGAGUACAAUUCAAACCCCUUAACGACUAACAAUUGGAGGGCAAGUCUGGUGCCAGCAGC